GCUGGGCAUGGUGCUGUGUGCCUGUAAUCCCAGCUACUUGGGAGGCUGAGGCAGGAGAAUUGCUUGAACCUGGGAGGCGGAGGUUGCAGUGAACAAAGAUCGCGCCACUGCCCUCCAGCCUGGGUGACAGAGCAAGACUCUGUCUCAA
Non-coding RNA from Gorilla gorilla gorilla (western lowland gorilla), 148 nucleotides. It matches the Rfam family "Metazoan signal recognition particle RNA". Rfam says of the family: The signal recognition particle (SRP) is a universally conserved ribonucleoprotein. It is involved in the co-translational targeting of proteins to membranes. The record is from Rfam. Lineage: Eukaryota; Metazoa; Chordata; Mammalia; Primates; Hominidae.